RNAcentral lists this ribosomal RNA (474 nucleotides) under uncultured bacterium. RNAcentral's name for it is "bacterial SSU rRNA". It matches the Rfam family "Bacterial small subunit ribosomal RNA", at positions 328 to 793 of the family's 1533-position model. The record is from RNAcentral.
CUCUGUGACUCCUACGGGAGGCAGCAGUGGGGAAUAUUGCACAAUGGGGGGAAACCCUGAUGCAGCCAUGCCGCGUGUGUGAAGAAGGCCUUCGGGUUGUAAAGCACUUUCAGUAGGGAGGAAGGUAGUGUAGUUAACACCUGCAUUAUUUGACGUUACCUACAGAAGAAGCACCGGCUAACUCCGUGCCAGCAGCCGCGGUAAUACGGAGGGUGCGAGCGUUAAUCGGAAUUACUGGGCGUAAAGCGCAUGCAGGCGGCCUGUUAAGUCAGAUGUGAAAGCCCGGGGCUUAACCUCGGAAUUGCAUUUGAAACUGGCAGGCUAGAGUCUUGUAGAGGGGGUAGAAUUUCAGGUGUAGCGGUGAAAUGCGUAGAGAUCUGAAGGAAUACCAGUGGCGAAGGCGGCCCCCCUGGACAAAGACUGACGCUCAGAUGCGAAAGCGUGGGGAGCAAACAGGAUUAGAUACCCUGGUAG